GAUGAACGCUGGCGGCGUGCUUAACACAUGCAAGUCGAACGGAAAGGCCCAAGCUUGCUUGGGUACUCGAGUGGCGAACGGGUGAGUAACACGUGGGUGAUCUGCCCCGCACUUCGGGAUAAGCCUGGGAAACUGGGUCUAAUACCGGAUAGGACAGUGGUUUGGAUGCCAUUGUGGAAAGUUUUUUCGGUGUGGGAUGAGCUCGCGGCCUAUCAGCUUGUUGGUGGGGUAAUGGCCUACCAAGGCGUCGGCGGGUAGCCGGCCUGAGAGGGUGUACGGCCACAUUGGGACUGAGAUACGGCCCAGACUCCGACGGGAGGCAGCAGUGGGGAAUAUUGCACAAUGGGCGCAAGCCUGAUGCAGCGACGCCGCGUGGGGGAUGACGGCCUUCGGGUUGUAAACUCCUUUCGCUAGGGACGAAGCGUUAUGUGACGGUACCUAGAGAAGAAGCACCGGCUAACUACGUG
RNAcentral lists this ribosomal RNA (467 nucleotides) under uncultured bacterium. RNAcentral's name for it is "partial 16S ribosomal RNA". It matches the Rfam family "Bacterial small subunit ribosomal RNA", at positions 28 to 507 of the family's 1533-position model. The record is from RNAcentral.